This 653-nucleotide long non-coding RNA is filed under the name Heterocephalus glaber (naked mole-rat). RNAcentral's name for it is "lncRNA (ENSHGLG00100039771.1)". The record is from RNAcentral. Lineage: Eukaryota; Metazoa; Chordata; Mammalia; Rodentia; Bathyergidae.
GGCGAUGAACGCCGGGUCCGCAGUGGGCUGAGCCCUCGGUGUCCUCAGCGCCCGGCUGGUAGAAGAGGGCACUUUUCUGCGGACGCUCUCGCUUCCUUGUUCAAAUCACUGACCUCGACUCGGAGCCUCCAUCUGUCUCUGUGUAGUCGGGGCAGAACCAGCAGUGCCUCCUUCGAAAGGCUCUGUGAGAAGACAUGUCAUGAGCAGUCUUGACCCACAUAGUGAAGACAAAGCUUCAAGCAAACAGCCUUAUGAAUGAGCCAUGUCAGAAGUAGAUCUUCCAGCUCCUUCGGGGAUCUACAUUCCUGACUGCAAACUUGACUGUAACCUCAUGAGGGACCCUAAGCUAAAGCCAAAACCUCGCAGGUAUCUGUCUGUCCCCGAAUGAUGAGAGACAUGUGGAGCAGACCUGAACCCAACACACUCCCUAGAGUGAACUCCAUUCUGUCCACAGCCUCAAGAAAAGCUUGCAGCAGAGCCCAGCCUGCAUCACACAAACCAUAGUCAGCCUGUGGACUGAUGGGAAAGAUACUAACUGUCGCUGUAAGAUUUUGAUUUGGCGGGUUGUUUGUUACAAAACUUUACUGAAACGAGAGAUGACUAAUAUAUGAAAUUAUUGUGAAGAACAAAUGAGACAUUUAACAUUGUGCUAG